ACGCGUACGGCCUCGACGAGAUCGGCCAGAACACCGAGGCCAUCCGGAACUCGGUCCUCGACCUCACGCGCUUUGGCAAGGUGGUCAAGCUCGUCGCCUUCCACCCUUUCUCCUCCACCCUCGAUGCCCUGAACCAAUGCAGCGCCAUCUCCGAAGGGCUCAUGACCGAUGCGUUGAGGAACUUCUUGGAAAUCAACCUUCUGAAACCAAAAGAGGGGAAGAAGGCUAAGUUCAGCCUCGGCGUUGCAGAGCCCAAGUUUGGGUCUCAGGAAGUGACCAAGAUUCCUUGCCAGAGCAAUGAGUUUGUUCUCGAGCUCCUUCAUGGUGUCAGGUUGCACUUUGAUAGGUUCAUUAAAGACUUAAAGCCAUCAGACUUGGAGAAGGCUCAGCUGGGUUUGAGUACAAUCAUUGUUCAGGAUCUCGGUCAUUUGUUACAACAAUGACUAUACCGCUGGAGUUUAAUAGUUCUGAAAAUCUUGAAUUUUCAGAAUUCUAUAAGAAAACUCAUACCAAGAAGAACAAAGAAUGAAUUGAUCCUAUUUG
This is a non-coding RNA of Phoenix dactylifera (date palm), 543 nucleotides long. Lineage: Eukaryota; Viridiplantae; Streptophyta; Magnoliopsida; Arecales; Arecaceae. The record is from RefSeq and is a predicted model, not a curated record.